UACGCACGCUGGCGGCGUGCUUAACACAUGCAAGUCGAACGGAAAGGCCCUGCUUUUGUGGGGUGCUCGAGUGGCGAACGGGUGAGUAACACGUGAGUAACCUGCCCUUGACUUUGGGAUAACUUCAGGAAACUGGGGCUAAUACCGGAUAGGAGCUCCUGCUGCAUGGUGGGGGUUGGAAAGUUUCGGCGGUUGGGGAUGGACUCGCGGCUUAUCAGCUUGUUGGUGGGGUAGUGGCUUACCAAGGCUUUGAAGGGUAGCCGGCCUGAGAGGGUGACCGGCCACAUUGGGACUGAGAUACGGCACAGACUCCUACGGGAGGCAGCAGUGGGGAAUAUUGCACAAUGGGCGGAAGCCUGAUGCAGCAACGCCGCGUGCGGGAUGACGGCCUUCGGUUUGUAAACCGCUUUCGCCUGUGACGAAGCGUGAGUGACGGUAAUGGGUAAAGAAGCACCGGCUGACUACGUG
Molecule: ribosomal RNA, 468 nt
Filed under: uncultured bacterium
Lineage: Bacteria
Description: partial 16S ribosomal RNA
Rfam family: Bacterial small subunit ribosomal RNA
Source: RNAcentral